This is a non-coding RNA of Phrynosoma platyrhinos (Desert horned lizard), 71 nucleotides long. The record is from the annotation of a GenBank genome assembly. NCBI's taxonomy places the organism in Eukaryota, Metazoa, Chordata, Lepidosauria, Squamata, Phrynosomatidae.
ACCAGAGUGGUGUAAUGGUCUGAGUGUUGGACUAUAAAUCUGGAGACCAGGGUUCAAUCCCCAGCUUGGUC